AAGCUGUAUUCUGGUAAUGAUUGCAAUAAAAGCAGAUGCUUCAUGAAGUUCAUGGGGAACAAGACAAAAGGGGGCACGCUUGGUUUCCAAGAUUGGAGAAGAUGUACAGUGCCCAGUAGGCAUACGGGUCCCAUUCGUAACUGUGGUGUUUUUAAAAUAAAAAUUUAUUUGAAUUUAUGUUUUCUUUUUUUUCUUUUUUUAAGGCUGCCAAGUUAUGGGGAUACAAUUUUUUGUUGUGUGGAUCUCAGUACUUAAACUGAACCUAACAAGGACUUCUUUUGACCCAGGGAGCUUCUGCAUUACGUAGGAUGGUGUGCCUGAGGGUACCAGGGUGGCGCUUGCUCAGACCUGGCUGCUUUAUUUUAAUACCUUUUUAAAAAACAGCAAUAUUUAUUUUACUCUCAGAUAUAAAAGGAAACUCCUCAUAAAUGACUAUGGAAGAGAGAGAAAAUCAUCAUCAGGAAGUUCUGAUUCAAAGGAGUCUAUGUCUACUGUGCCGGCUGACUUUGAGACAGAUGAAAGUGUCCUGAUGAGGAGACAGAAGCAGAUCAACUAUGGGAAGAACACAAUUGCCUACGAUCGUUAUAUUAAAGAAGUCCCGAGGUAGUCCUGUCUCAGUGGCACGUCUUGAACCAGCCACGUGGCAUGGCAUUACA
This is a long non-coding RNA of Cebus imitator (Panamanian white-faced capuchin), 656 nucleotides long. RefSeq lists it as uncharacterized. The transcript is spliced from 2 exons. The record is from RefSeq and is a predicted model, not a curated record. Lineage: Eukaryota; Metazoa; Chordata; Mammalia; Primates; Cebidae.